Molecule: unclassified non-coding RNA, 148 nt
Organism: Papio anubis (olive baboon)
Lineage: Eukaryota; Metazoa; Chordata; Mammalia; Primates; Cercopithecidae
Rfam family: Metazoan signal recognition particle RNA
About the family: The signal recognition particle (SRP) is a universally conserved ribonucleoprotein. It is involved in the co-translational targeting of proteins to membranes. The eukaryotic SRP consists of a 300-nucleotide 7S RNA and six proteins: SRPs 72, 68, 54, 19, 14, and 9.
Source: Ensembl
GCUGGGCGUGGUGGCGGGCACCUGUAAUCCCAGCUACUCGGGAGGCUGAGACAGGAGAAUCGCUUGAACCCAGGAGGCAGAGGUUGCAGUGAGCAGAGAUCGUGCCAUUGCACUCCAGCCUGGGUGAUAGAGCAAGACUCUGUCUCAA